AUGGCUGUGCUACUGUUGUCAAUUUGCUGGAGGAACAAGACGAGCUGCCUCGGCAAGCGUCCGAGACAGAGCCCGAGGAGGAGGCUCCCCGGCGCGUUUGCGGGUUCGGCGGCGACGAUGACGGCGAAGGAUGGCUUGUCGUUGGCCAAGCGGCUACGUUGGUGGUGGUGGCCGGAUGCUAGCCUGCCCGAACAUCGCCUGAAGGGCUCCCUCUUCUGCCAUGUUGCGGCCACUGCGGACCUACUAGCCCCCGUCCUGGAGCAGUGCUCAGAUCUCCGCGCGGUGCUCCCCGACCUCUGCCACAACCUCCCUCAACACGCCUCUACUCGGCUUCCGCGAUGCGGCGAUGGGGGCAUCGGUGGUGUGGGGGCAAAGGGGCGUCCCAACAUUGGUGGCAUGUGGCCGCCGUGGUGUAGGAGAGGUGGGGGUCAGGUUAGGGGGCGCUGUGCCUAACUAGUAGGAG
This 463-nucleotide long non-coding RNA is filed under the name Oryza sativa Indica Group (long-grained rice). Its description in RNAcentral is "lncRNA OsZS97_10G011680". The record is from RNAcentral. Lineage: Eukaryota; Viridiplantae; Streptophyta; Magnoliopsida; Poales; Poaceae.